Molecule: ribosomal RNA, 404 nt
Filed under: uncultured bacterium
Lineage: Bacteria
Description: bacterial SSU rRNA
Rfam family: Bacterial small subunit ribosomal RNA
Source: RNAcentral
GAAUAUUGCACAAUGGGCGAAAGCCUGAUGCAGCGACGCCGCGUGGGGGAUGAAGGCCUUCGGGUUGUAAACCCCUUUCAGCAGGGAAGAAGCGAAAGUGACGGUACCUGCAGAAGAAGCGCCGGCUAACUACGUGCCAGCAGCCGCGGUAAUACGUAGGGCGCAAGCGUUGUCCGGAAUUAUUGGGCGUAAAGAGCUCGUAGGCGGUUUGUCGCGUCUGCUGUGAAAACCCGAGGCUCAACCUCGGGCCUGCAGUGGGUACGGGCAGACUAGAGUGCGGUAGGGGAGACUGGAAUUCCUGGUGUAGCGGUGGAAUGCGCAGAUAUCAGGAGGAACACCGAUGGCGAAGGCAGCCAUCUGGCCUAAUACUGACGCUGAGGUACGAAAGCAUGGGGAGCAAACAG